UACGUAGGGCGCAAGCGUUGUCCGGAAUUAUUGGGCGUAAAGAGCUCGUAGGUGGCUUGUUGCGUCUGCCGUGAAAUCCCGUGGCUUAACUGCGGGUCUGCGGUGGAUACGGGGCAGGGCUAGAGGCUGGUAGGGGCAAGCGGAAUUCCUGGUGUAGCGGUGAAAUGCGCAGAUAUCAGGAGGAACACCGGUGGCGAAGGCGGCUUGCUGGGCCAGUUCUGACGCUGGAGGAGCGAAAGCGUGGGGAGCGAACAGG
This 256-nucleotide ribosomal RNA is filed under the name uncultured bacterium. Its description in RNAcentral is "partial 16S ribosomal RNA". It matches the Rfam family "Bacterial small subunit ribosomal RNA", at positions 524 to 776 of the family's 1533-position model. The record is from RNAcentral.